Long non-coding RNA from Armigeres subalbatus, 213 nucleotides. RefSeq lists it as uncharacterized. NCBI's taxonomy places the organism in Eukaryota, Metazoa, Arthropoda, Insecta, Diptera, Culicidae. The record is from RefSeq and is a predicted model, not a curated record. The transcript has 3 exons.
CCGAAAAAAGUGUGUCAUCCAGGGUCCAGUGUAGAACAUCGUCGUGGAAGACGUCUUCGAGUUAUGCGAAAACGAACAGAGACCGUUUAAUCGUGGACAAAUUCUAGUGCUUUACCGCAGUGUUUCCUGUUGUGCGGUAACCAAGUAUCGGUGAUAGGACUUAAUACCAACUUUUAAUCGGAUACUCUGGGCUUGGCAUCUAUUGAGUGUGAG